AGGGUGUAAACGCUGCGGGCUUGGUGUUGGGGGUCCUUAGUGGGCGCCCAGUGCCGGAGAGAAGUUGUUAAGCCUGCUGCUUGGGGAGUAUGUCCGCAAGGAUGAAACUUAAAGGAAUUGGCGGGGGAGGCACCGCAACGGGAGGAGCGUGCGGUUCAAUUGGAUUCAACGCCGAAAAACUCACCAGGAGCGACGGAUAUAUGAAGGUCAAGCUGAUGACUUUACCUGAUUUUCCGAGAGGUGGUGCAUGGCGUAGUCGUGU
RNAcentral lists this ribosomal RNA (262 nucleotides) under uncultured archaeon. Its description in RNAcentral is "partial 16S ribosomal RNA". It matches the Rfam family "Archaeal small subunit ribosomal RNA", at positions 748 to 1009 of the family's 1478-position model. The record is from RNAcentral.